AGGGAAUCUUCCGCAAUGGGCGAAAGCCUGACGGAGCAACGCCGCGUGAGUGAUGAAGGUCUUCGGAUCGUAAAACUCUGUUAUUAGGGAGGAACAAAUGUGUAAGUAACUAUGCACGUCUUGACGGUACCUAAUCAGAAAGCCACGGCUAACUACGUGCCAGCAGCCGCGGUAAUACGUAGGUGGCAAGCGUUAUCCGGAAUUAUUGGGCGUAAAGCGCGCGUAGGCGGUUUUUUAAGUCUGAUGUGAAAGCCCACGGCUCAACCGUGGAGGGUCAUUGGAAACUGGAAAACUUGAGUGCAGAAGAGGAUAGUGGAAUUCCAUGUGUAGCGGUGAAAUGCGCAGAGAUAUGGAGGAACACCAGUGGCGAAGGCGACUUUCUGGUCUGUAACUGACGCUGAUGUGCGAAAGCGUGGGGAUCAAACAGGAUUAGAUACCCUGGUAGUCCACGCCGUAAACGAUGAGUGCUAAGUGUUAGGGGGUUUCCGCCCCUUAGUGCUGCAGCUAACGCAUUAAGCACUCCGCCUGGGGAGUACGACCGCAAGGUUG
RNAcentral lists this ribosomal RNA (549 nucleotides) under uncultured bacterium. RNAcentral describes it as "bacterial SSU rRNA". It matches the Rfam family "Bacterial small subunit ribosomal RNA", at positions 356 to 896 of the family's 1533-position model. The record is from RNAcentral.